CUACCCGGGUAUCUAAUCCUGUUUGCUCCCCACGCUUUCGCGCCUUAGCGUCAGUAUCGAGCCAGUAAGUCGCCUUCGCCACUGGUGUUCUUACGAAUAUCUACGAAUUUCACCUCUACACUCGUAAUUCCACUUACCUCUCUCGAUCUCUAGUUCCACAGUAUCAAAUGCACCUCCUAGGUUAAGCCUAGGGCUUUCACAUCUGACUUAUGGUACCGCCUACACGCCCUUUACGCCCAGUAAUUCCGAACAACGCUAGCUCCCCUCGUAUUACCGCGGCUGCUGGCAC
Molecule: ribosomal RNA, 289 nt
Filed under: uncultured Pseudomonadota bacterium
Lineage: Bacteria; Pseudomonadati; Pseudomonadota
Description: uncultured proteobacterium partial 16S ribosomal RNA
Source: RNAcentral